RNAcentral lists this long non-coding RNA (427 nucleotides) under Dromaius novaehollandiae (emu). RNAcentral's name for it is "lncRNA (ENSDNVG00000002723.1)". The record is from RNAcentral. Lineage: Eukaryota; Metazoa; Chordata; Aves; Casuariiformes; Dromaiidae.
AGAAAGAUGACUACGGAGCAGCGAUUCUAAUAGGAAGCUGAGCACUAAUGAUUGAAAGGAAAUACAUACAUCAAGAGGGCACCUUUAGGGCUGGCGUACCUGGCUGUGUCUCCCGAAGAAGUUCAUGUGGCAGCUGCCUCCUCCAUUAAAUCUCCAGAGGACCCCAAAGUUACUCUAGCACUUGCUUCUGAUUUCCUCCCCUGGCUUGCCGUUAAGCAGGGACAGUCUGCUGCUGGAGGAGCUGCUGCCGGAGCUGCCGAGAGCUCACGCGGGAAAAUCCUUCCCUUCCCCAGCAAGGAUUUCCUUCUGUCUCCAUCCCCUCUGAAAGGAAGACAUUUCAGACCUGGAUUAUUAGUACAUCUACCUUCCUAAGCAACGUUUUUUCUGAAGAACAGCCCAUCUUAUUCACAAAGACAGAAAAAUCCGG